AUCAAGUGAAGGUGUCUCAGUGCUGCACAUAAGAUAUGCAAUUAGUGGUAUCCCAUUGCCAAAUCUGCUAAAAAAAAAAAAAAGAAAUUCAAGGAGAACGAUUCAAUUAAACUUGACAAUGAUAUUGCAACACAUAUAUUACAACUCAAUGGAAAGAAUAUCAUACCUCUUUCAAGCAUGUACUUGCAUAUGCCCAUAUAUAUGAAAAUGGGCAUCGUCAUUUAAAUCUUAAUUACUAAAUCUCACGUGAAUUUUUGAGCAUGUCACCAGACGCUAAAGAAGUUAUAGGAAUUCUCGGGUCUCCAAAUUAAAACCAAAGUCAGAAGCAUCAAUCAUCAUGAUAUAUUUCAGUCAAUAAGUAAAUUGGAAGCUCAAGCCUCUUUCCCAGUGUAAUUCAAGACCCAAUGGACAGAUAAUAUGAAGACCAGUGAGCAAAACAAACAAUGAUUAAAAAAAAUUGAACACAGAAAGAUGACAACAAAUUUGAGGCUCAAGGGCCAGCUACCAUCAGCAGCAGAUACUAUAGUUGACAGAGAGAGGCAAGAGCAAGCAUGAAGCAUGUUUCUGAUUGUUUGCUAACAGACAUCAAUUAAAUUUAGAAACAUUCUGCUGUACAUAGAAUAGGAUUCAGAAGUUGAUAGACCAUCACCAGAAAAUAACAAUCAUUACUCCUAUCUCCACUCUAUUCAAUUUCCACACAAACAAACAGAUACAUUGAAAAUUCUUAGGCUUAUUCUGAAUUAUUGUUUACCUACCACACUGUGGUGGCAUAUGUUUACAAGGUCAUAAGAAAGCCCACCUAACCCACCAUGUAUUGAAUCACCUCUAUCCAGGUGCACAACUAGAAGAAUGAAAAACCCAACACAUAGAUUUCAACAAAAUUUCAGUUUACGAAUCUCAAUGGUCUACCGAACUCUCGACAUUCUAUACAAAUAAAUCAAAUAAGCUUUUCGAUUAGGGUUUUAAGAUCAUGCUUCCAUUUUCAUCAUCUACUCUCACUAACCAAAUGCCAGGGUUCAAUAUCAGCAAUGUGUAAGAUGAAUUUCACCAACCUAAUAACUAAACGCACCAGAUCAAUUAACCAAAAAACAGUAUUAAAACUAAUAAUUUCACCCUACGGCCAAAAAUCUAGAGCUAAUAUGAAAAAUAAAAUUGCAUGAAAAGAAGAAAAAGAAAAUCAGUACCUUAGCAGUGUAAGUGAUAUUCUCAAGUUGACAAUUCCAAUUGUCUUCGCACUCCACCAUGCUCCCUCUGUAAAGCUCACCGCUUUUCAGCUCCACCGUCACGAUGUGGCCCGACGCCUCAUGUAGCAGCUUCACUGGUAUCCCUAAGCUCCGGCUCAUGGUUUGCUUCUCUCUCUCUGUAUCUCUCUGCAAAACCCUAGCUAACCCACCAAGGACCCAAAC
RNAcentral lists this unclassified non-coding RNA (1406 nucleotides) under Hevea brasiliensis (rubber tree). Lineage: Eukaryota; Viridiplantae; Streptophyta; Magnoliopsida; Malpighiales; Euphorbiaceae. The record is from RNAcentral.